RNAcentral lists this ribosomal RNA (490 nucleotides) under uncultured bacterium. RNAcentral's name for it is "partial 16S ribosomal RNA". It matches the Rfam family "Bacterial small subunit ribosomal RNA", at positions 29 to 507 of the family's 1533-position model. The record is from RNAcentral.
AUUGAACGCUGGCGGCAGGCCUAACACAUGCAAGUCGAACGGUAACAGGAAGCAGCUUGCUGCUUCGCUGACGAGUGGCGGACGGGUGAGUAAUGUCUGGGAAGCUGCCUGAUGGAGGGGGAUAACUACUGGAAACGGUAGCUAAUACCGCAUAAUGUCGCAAGACCAAAGAGGGGGACCUUCGGGCCUCUUGCCAUCGGAUGUGCCCAGAUGGGAUUAGCUUGUUGGUGGGGUAACGGCUCACCAAGGCGACGAUCCCUAGCUGGUCUGAGAGGAUGACCAGCCACACUGGAACUGAGACACGGGUCAGACUCCCAAGGGAGGCAGCAGUGGGGAAUAUUGGACCAUGGGGGGAAGCCCUAUGGCGGCAAGCCGGGUGGAAUAAGAAGGCCCUUCGGGUGGAAAGUACUUUCAGCGGGGAGGAAGGGAGUAAAGUUAAUACCUUUGCUCAUUGACGUUACCCGCAGAAGAAGCACCGGCUAACUCCGUG